This 77-nucleotide ribosomal RNA is filed under the name Salmonella enterica subsp. enterica serovar Enteritidis. Its description in RNAcentral is "partial 23S ribosomal RNA". The record is from RNAcentral. Lineage: Bacteria; Pseudomonadati; Pseudomonadota; Gammaproteobacteria; Enterobacterales; Enterobacteriaceae.
CCGGUUGUUUAAGAGCUGCGAUGCGUUGAGCUAUCCUGUACUAAUGAACCGUGAGGCUUAACCUUACCACGCCGAAG